Molecule: small nuclear RNA, 107 nt
Organism: Sciurus carolinensis (gray squirrel)
Lineage: Eukaryota; Metazoa; Chordata; Mammalia; Rodentia; Sciuridae
Source: RefSeq, a predicted model, not a curated record
GUGUUCAGUUUGACAGCACAUAUCCUGACAUUGGAAGGAUGCAGAGAAGAUUAGCAUGGCCCCUGCACAUGGAUGACAUGCAAAUUUAUAAAGCACAUCACAAUGAA